Molecule: long non-coding RNA, 1352 nt
Organism: Portunus trituberculatus (swimming crab)
Lineage: Eukaryota; Metazoa; Arthropoda; Malacostraca; Decapoda; Portunidae
Exons: 4
Source: RefSeq, a predicted model, not a curated record
AGAUAUUUCUUCUACGUAAAUGUCAAGCCAAAGUAGAAAUUAGUGCGGUGUAGAUAUUUUUCCUUGUAGAUAACAAGCCAAAGUAACUCCCAACUUUCAAAUAAGAGUUAUUUUCAUGUACAUUGCGCCAGACUACUAGCUUUUGUUAUCAUUAGAGGUUUCAGUGCUUCACCGGUUCACUCCGUUGGGCAUUUGUGCUCACCAAGUCACUACACUGAACGACUCCGGGCACAACGUAUGUGUAUGCAGCAUUUCUCUCAAUAUGUGGCUGUAACUGUCUCUUGUUGUAUGUGUCAGCCACAUCUAGUGUCCAGCUGUGGCAGCAGCUUCCUCAACACAAAGACACGGCUGGAGUUGACAAGGCAAAGCGAAAGAGAAGUAGUCUGCCCACUCAGCGGAAGAUGAGUAAGGGUUGAAAUCCCUACUGUUUCUUAGCCUUGGGAGGGACAUCAUCUGAUAGAAUACAUGGCGAGUGAAAGAUACACAUACGUACACAGUGAUAUCUCAGGGAAUACUCAAGUCAUGAGUGAUACGUAUGGUCAUUUCCUGCCCAAUACAAGCAAGACCCUCAUAACAAGUACUAAAUAAAAAAAUAAAAAAUGAUGCCCAACAUUCACCUGUGAUAACGACAAUAGUGGUGUUCCUCUGUACCAGGAUUCAGAUGACAGAAUAAAUGCUACUAGACAAGGACAGCAGCCAGCCACCUACUCCCACCACCUGCACCUGUGAGGGCAAGGACUGGUGCUUGGUCCACUUGAAGAGGAUGCACUCUCCCUUCCUGUCUACUGGUGAGGUAAUGCCUCUGUAGCAGCUGAUUUCCCUUAACCAUCACUGGAGGGGGGAAGAGCCUUUAAAUUCAAAGUGGCCAACCUCAAGUGCUGGGUAGGCACAAGUUACAGUGCAACUUACACUUUUGAGAGAAUGUUCCUAGUCUCCCCUAACCUAACUAACUUUGAUGUAUAUUGGAUAAAUGAACAAUCCUGGAUAGACAUGACCCAAAUGAUAGAGGCCUUCUGUCUUCCUAAUUUUGUUAGGGAUGGGGGAAAUAGUGACCAACACAGCCAUAUAUCUAAUUCAGGAAUACCUUUCCUUAAAGGGGUUACUUUACACUCUGCUUCCUUCUGAGUGAGACGAAACACCCUUCCUGUCCCUUUCACUGCCCAAUAUUACAUAACAAUGGUCUCACUACCUUCCUUCCCUGGCACCUUCUGACACAUUGAGCACACCAUGCACAACCCUGGAGGACUUUAAACAGAGACAGUGGAUUGUCUCAAUGUGGCUAGUAGUAAUAUAAUAACAAUGAUCUUGUUGGCUUUGAGGAUGAUGUUUUUAACAUUGAACUUACCUCGACG